UACGUAGGGUGCAAGCGUUGUCCGGAAUUAUUGGGCGUAAAGAGCUCGUAGGCGGUUUGUUGCGUCGGCUGUGAAAUCCCGAGGCUCAACCUCGGGUCUGCAGUCGAUACGAGCAAACUAGAGUGUUGCAGGGGAGACUGGAAUUCCUGGUGUAGCGGUGAAAUGCGCAGAUAUCAGGAGGAACACCGGUGGCGAAAGGCGGGUCUC
This 207-nucleotide ribosomal RNA is filed under the name uncultured bacterium. Its description in RNAcentral is "partial 16S ribosomal RNA". It matches the Rfam family "Bacterial small subunit ribosomal RNA", at positions 524 to 729 of the family's 1533-position model. The record is from RNAcentral.